UACGAAGGGGGCUAGCGUUGCUCGGAAUGACUGGGCGUAAAGGGCGCGUAGGCGGAUGGCACAGUCAGAUGUGAAAUUCCCGGGCUUAACCUGGGGGCUGCAUUUGAUACGUGUUGUCUUGAGUUCGGAAGAGGGUCGUGGAAUUCCCAGUGUAGAGGUGAAAUUCGUAGAUAUUGGGAAGAACACCGGUGGCGAAGGCGGCGACCUGGUCCGACACUGACGCUGAGGCGCGAAAGCGUGGGGAGCAAACAGGG
RNAcentral lists this ribosomal RNA (254 nucleotides) under uncultured bacterium. RNAcentral's name for it is "partial 16S ribosomal RNA". It matches the Rfam family "Bacterial small subunit ribosomal RNA", at positions 524 to 777 of the family's 1533-position model. The record is from RNAcentral.